RNAcentral lists this ribosomal RNA (451 nucleotides) under Escherichia coli. RNAcentral describes it as "bacterial SSU rRNA". It matches the Rfam family "Bacterial small subunit ribosomal RNA", at positions 118 to 565 of the family's 1533-position model. Lineage: Bacteria; Pseudomonadati; Pseudomonadota; Gammaproteobacteria; Enterobacterales; Enterobacteriaceae. The record is from RNAcentral.
UGGGAAACUGCCUGAUGGAGGGGGAUAACUACUGGAAACGGUAGCUAAUACCGCAUAACGUCGCAGGACCAAAGAGGGGGACCUUCGGGCCUCUUGCCAUCGGAUGUGCCCAGAUGGGAUUAGCUAGUUGGUGGGGUAACGGCUCACCUAGGCGACGAUCCCUAGCUGGUCUGAGAGGAUGACCAGCCACACUGGAACUGAGACACGGUCCAGACUCCUACGGGAGGCAGCAGUGGGGAAUAUUGCACAAUGGGCGCAAGCCUGAUGCAGCCAUGCCGCGUGUAUGAAGAAGGCCUUCGGGUUGUAAAGUACUUUCAGCGGGGAGGAAGGGAGUAAAGUUAAUACCUUUGCUCAUUGACGUUACCCGCAGAAUAAGCACCGGCUAACUCCGUGCCAGCAGCCGCGGUAAUACGGAGGGUGCAAGCGUUAAUCGGAAUUACUGGGCGUAAAG